This 362-nucleotide ribosomal RNA is filed under the name uncultured Rhodocyclaceae bacterium. RNAcentral describes it as "bacterial SSU rRNA". It matches the Rfam family "Bacterial small subunit ribosomal RNA", at positions 1014 to 1382 of the family's 1533-position model. Lineage: Bacteria; Pseudomonadati; Pseudomonadota; Betaproteobacteria; Rhodocyclales; Rhodocyclaceae. The record is from RNAcentral.
UCGCAAGAGAGCGACACAGGUGCUGCAUGGCUGUCGUCAGCUCGUGUCGUGAGAUGUUGGGUUAAGUCCCGCAACGAGCGCAACCCUUGUCAUUAGUUGCCAUCAUUUGGUUGGGCACUCUAAUGAGACUGCCGGUGACAAACCGGAGGAAGGUGGGGAUGACGUCAAGUCCUCAUGGCCCUUAUGGGUAGGGCUUCACACGUCAUACAAUGGUCGGUACAGAGGGUUGCCAACCCGCGAGGGGGAGCUAAUCCCACAAAGCCGAUCGUAGUCCGGAUCGCAGUCUGCAACUCGACUGCGUGAAGUCGGAAUCGCUAGUAAUCGUGGAUCAGCAUGUCACGGUGAAUACGUUCCCGGGUCUU